UACAGAGGUCCCGAGCGUUGUUCGGAUUCACUGGGCGUAAAGGGUGCGUAGGUGGUGAGAUAAGUCGGAUGUGAAAUCUCCAAGCUCAACUUGGAAAUGGCAUUGGAAACUACCUUGCUGGAGGUUUGGAGGGGGGACUGGAAUUCUCGGUGUAGCAGUGAAAUGCGUAGAUAUCGAGAGGAACACCAGUGGCGAAGGCGAGUCCCUGGACAAAACCUGACACUGAGGCACGAAAGCUAGGGGAGCAAACAGG
RNAcentral lists this ribosomal RNA (253 nucleotides) under uncultured bacterium. Its description in RNAcentral is "partial 16S ribosomal RNA". It matches the Rfam family "Bacterial small subunit ribosomal RNA", at positions 524 to 776 of the family's 1533-position model. The record is from RNAcentral.